This 497-nucleotide ribosomal RNA is filed under the name uncultured bacterium. Its description in RNAcentral is "partial 16S ribosomal RNA". It matches the Rfam family "Bacterial small subunit ribosomal RNA", at positions 28 to 507 of the family's 1533-position model. The record is from RNAcentral.
GAUGAACGCUGGCGGCGUGCCUAAUACAUGCAAGUCGAGCGAACGGACGAGAAGCUUGCUUCUCUGAUGUUAGCGGCGGACGGGUGAGUAACACGUGGAUAACCUACCUAUAAGACUGGGAUAACUUCGGGAAACCGGAGCUAAUACCGGAUAAUAUUUUGAACCGCAUGGUUCAAAAGUGAAAGACGGUCUUGCUGUCACUUAUAGAUGGAUCCGCGCUGCAUUAGCUAGUUGGUAAGGUAACGGCUUACCAAGGCAACGAUGCAUAGCCGACCUGAGAGGGUGAUCGGCCACACUGGAACUGAGACACGGUCCAAACUCCUACGGGAGGCAGCAGUAGGGAAUCUUCCGCAAUGGGCGAAAGCCUAACGGAGCAACGCCGCGUGAGUGGUGAAGGUCUUCGGAUCGUAAAACUCUGUUAUUAGGUAAGAACAUAUGUGUAAGUAACUGUGCACAUCUUGACGGUACCUAAUCAGAAAGCCACGGCUAACUACGUG